UUUCUAUUGUGUCCAAU
This 17-nucleotide small RNA is filed under the name Arabidopsis thaliana (thale cress). RNAcentral's name for it is "ATSL118750". Lineage: Eukaryota; Viridiplantae; Streptophyta; Magnoliopsida; Brassicales; Brassicaceae. The record is from RNAcentral.